This 200-nucleotide ribosomal RNA is filed under the name uncultured bacterium. Its description in RNAcentral is "partial 16S ribosomal RNA". It matches the Rfam family "Bacterial small subunit ribosomal RNA", at positions 28 to 230 of the family's 1533-position model. The record is from RNAcentral.
GAUGAACGCUAGCGGCAGGCUUAACACAUGCAAGUCGAGGGGUAUGGUUCUUCGGAACCAGAGACCGGCGCACGGGUGCGUAACGCGUAUGCAAUCUACCUUUCACAGAGGGAUAGCCCAGAGAAAUUUGGAUUAAUACCUCAUAGUAUUAUAGGAUGGCAUCAUUUUAAUAAUUAAAGUCACAACGGUGAAAGAUGAGC